UUGCUGGGGUACACGACGUGGCGAACGGGUGACGUAACACGUGGGUGACCCUGCCCUGCACUUCGGGAUAAGCCUGGGAAACUGGGUCUAAUACCGGAUAGGACCCGCACCGUGAGGGUGUGGUGGAAACGUUUUUUCGGUGUGGGAUGGGCCCGCGGCCUAUCAGCUUGUUUGGUGGGGUAAUGGCCUACCAAGGCGGCGACGGGUAGCCGGCCUGAGAGGGUGGACGGCCACAUUGGGACUGAGACACGGCCCAGACUCCUACGGGCAGGCACAGUGGGGGAAUAUUGCACAAAUUGGGCGGAAGCCUUGAUGCAGCGACGCCGCGUGGGGGAUGACGGGCCUUCGGUUUGUAAACUCCUUUUCACCAUCGGACGAAGGGUUUUCUGACGGUAGAUGGAGAAGAAGCACCGGCUAACUACGUGCCAGCAUCCUCCGGUAAUACGUAGGGGUGCGAGCGUUGUCCGGAAUUACUGGGCGUAAAGAGCUCGUAGUGGUUUUCGCGUCGUCUGUGCAAAUUCCGGGGCUUAACUCCGGGCGUGCAGGCGAUACGGGCAUAACUUGAGUACUGUAGGGGAGACUGGAAUUCCUGGUGUAGCGGUGAAAUGCGCAGAUAUCAGGAGGAACACCGGUGGCGAAGGCGGGUCUCUGGGCAGUAACUGACGCUGAGGAGCGAAAGCAUGGGGAGCGAACAGGAUUAGAUACCUGGUAGUCCAUGCCGUAAACGGUGGGCGCUAGGUGUGGGUUUCCUUCCACGGGAUCCGUGCCGUAGCUAACGCAUUAAGCGCCCCGCCUGGGGAGUACGCCGCAAGGCUA
Molecule: ribosomal RNA, 816 nt
Filed under: uncultured Actinomycetes bacterium
Lineage: Bacteria; Bacillati; Actinomycetota; Actinomycetes
Description: bacterial SSU rRNA
Rfam family: Bacterial small subunit ribosomal RNA
Source: RNAcentral